This is a non-coding RNA of Jatropha curcas, 2494 nucleotides long. The record is from RefSeq and is a predicted model, not a curated record. NCBI's taxonomy places the organism in Eukaryota, Viridiplantae, Streptophyta, Magnoliopsida, Malpighiales, Euphorbiaceae.
GAAUGUAACGGCGUCGUUGGUGCAAGUAAGCAAAAGCAGUUUAAACGAAACGCAUCGUAUAAGAAUGUAACUGAACUAGACGCCUCGUGACUAAUCAUCGACACUGUACACCCGGCAUCCAAAAACAACCAGCGCUUGCUGUUCGUUGCUCGAAAUUCUGCAUUGCAGGGAAAAGCUCCUUUCUGCUACAAAUUACAGUAGACUCUCUCUCCGAAUUGACCCUAUUAUCCAUUUUCCUCCACUUUCCUUUCUCUGCUUGUGUAUGAACCAAUGUCUCGCUCUCAGAUUGGUUAUCUGGUUCCUCUGAAAGUAAAUUUAGAGGAGGACACUUCGCUUCCUAAGCUACCUCUUUCCAAAGGCUCUAACACCAUCGGCCGCAGCCACGUUUCCGUCCCCGAUAAGAGACUCAGUCGCAACCACCUCACUGUAACCGCCUCUAUUGAUGGUUCUCUCAAUUUGACUCCCGAGGGUACUAAUCCAGUCGUGGUUAAAUCUGGGAAUCUAAGAAGGAAGCUGAAUCCUGGAGAGCAGUUGUCUAUUGCUAGCGGUGAUAUUAUAGAGCUAAUACCUGGCCACCAUUUCUUUAAGUACGUGGCUUCGUCUUCUCACAGCAGUAAUAGUAAUUCAUCUUCUCCUAAUACACCAAAGAGACAUUGUAAUAAUGAUGGUGGAGAAAUCAUCAAAAGCGACCCACCUAGUAGAAAGAAGAUGCGAGAAGCACCUGAAGUUGCUAACCGCUCUAAGUUGGAGACAGAAAAUAAUGGACAAGGAAACUGUGAAGAGGCUAUUUGUAAAUUUCAUGUUCCUGAUGAUAAAUUGCCGUUGAUCUUCCGGCUUUUGAAAGUGCAAGGGCUUCCGGCUUGGGCAAAUACCUCUUGCGUUUCUAUAAAUGACGUGGUUCAGGGGGAUAUUCUUGUUGCUAUCCUUUCAAACUACAUGGUGGACGUUGAUUGGUUGAUUUCUGCAUGUCCAACACUAGCUAAAAUUCCCCAUGUCUUGGUUAUUCAUGGGGAGGGUGAUGCUACGCUCGAACAUAUGAAGAGAAGCAAGCCUGCAAAUUGGAUUCUGCAUAAACCUCCACUGCCUAUUUCAUUUGGGACACACCAUUCCAAGGCCAUGCUUCUCAUCUAUCCUCGAGGAGUUAGAAUCAUUGUGCAUACAGCAAACUUAAUAUAUGUUGACUGGAACAACAAAAGCCAAGGUCUAUGGAUGCAAGAUUUCCCUUGGAAGGAUGAAAAGAGUCAAAGCAAAGGAUGCGGAUUUGAAAAUGACUUGGUUGAUUAUCUCCACGCUUUAAAGUGGCCAGAAUUCCCUGUUAAGCUACCUGCCCUUGGGAACUUCACUAUGAACCCAUCCUUUUUAAAGAAGUUUGAUUACAGCAGUGCAGCAGUUAGGUUAAUUGCAUCUGUUCCUGGAUAUCAUGCUGGUGCCAACCUAAAAAAAUGGGGACAUAUGAAGUUAAGAAGUGUUCUCCAGGAAUGCAUUUUUGGAAAGGAAUUUAAAAAUUCUCCUCUUGUCUAUCAGUUCUCUUCCCUUGGUUCGUUGGAUGAAAAGUGGAUGACAGAGCUGGCUACCUCAAUGUCUUCUGGACUCUCAGAAGAUAAAACGCCUCUUGGCCUUGGAGAGGCUAGAAUAAUAUGGCCUACUGUGGAAGAUGUCAGAUGCUCGUUAGAGGGUUAUGCUGCUGGAAAUGCUAUUCCAAGCCCAUUAAAGAAUGUAGAGAGAGAAUUUCUGAAGAAGUAUUGGUCAAAAUGGAAGGCUACCCACACUGGCCGCUGUCGUGCAAUGCCGCAUAUAAAGACAUUCACGCGGUAUAAUGGCCAGAAACUUGCUUGGUUUCUGCUGACUUCAGCUAAUCUAAGCAAAGCAGCUUGGGGGGCCUUGCAAAAGAAUAAUUCUCAGUUGAUGAUUCGUUCCUACGAGCAUUGGAUCCUUUAUUAUUGUUGUAUGAUUCACCUCAGCUCGGUGUGCUCUUUCUACCAUCUCCCUAUAAAAUACAUGCUUAUGGAUUUUCUUGCGUAGACAAUGAAGUUCUAUCCAAGGAUAAAUGUGGAGUAUUAGCAGAUUCUGAAGUGCUGAGAACGAAACUAGUGACUUUGGCGUGGCAAGGAACUAAAGAUUCAUCAUGUGAAGUGAUUCCACUACCAGUGCCUUACGAGCUCCCUCCCCAACCAUACUCCUCUGAAGAUAUUCCCUGGUCUUGGGACAGACGAUAUACCAAGAAGGAUGUUUAUGGCCAAGUUUGGCCUAGGCUUGUACAGCUUUAUACUUCUCAACAUUAAUGACUCUUGGUUUUGCAUUUGGUUUUGUAGUUUUUUCCAUGUAUUGUGCUGCAGAUUUUUCUGUCAGAAAAGGGACGUUGAAGACUCCUGUAUUAGAAGUUAUAUCAAGUGUAACUUCCAAAUUUGUUGCUCUUAAGCAUUUAUGGUCCAAAGAAUAAUACGUUAAGAGAGAGAUAUCGCCUUAAAUGUCAAUUGAAUGUUUUUUUUCUUUA